This is a long non-coding RNA of Carassius gibelio (silver crucian carp), 594 nucleotides long. RefSeq lists it as uncharacterized. The transcript has 5 exons. Lineage: Eukaryota; Metazoa; Chordata; Actinopteri; Cypriniformes; Cyprinidae. The record is from RefSeq and is a predicted model, not a curated record.
UUUGUUUGAGUUUUGGUAGGGUUGGUGUUGGUUUUUUUGAGUGAUUUGGUUAGGUUUCGGUAGGGUUGGUGUUGGUUUUGAGUGGUUCUUGAGUGAUUUGGUUAGGUUUCGGUAGGGUUGGUGUUGGUUUUGAGUGGUUCUUGAGUGAUUUGGUUAGGUUUCGGUAGGGUUGGUGUUGGUUUUGAGUGGUUUUUGAGUGAUUUGGUUAGGUUUCGGUAGGGUUGGUGUUGGUUUUGAGUGGUUCUUGAGUGAUUUGGUUAGGUUUCGGUAGGGAUGGUGUUGGUUUUGAGUGGUUUUUGAGUGAUUUGGUUAGGUUUCGGUAGGGUUGGUGUUGGUUUUGAGUGGUUCUUGAGUGAUUUGGUUAGGUUUCGGUAGGGUUGGUGUUGGUUUUGAGUGGUUUUUGAGUGAUUUGGUUAGGUUUCGGUAGGGUUGGUGUUGGUUUUGAGUGGUUUUUGAGUGAUUUGGUUAGGUUUCGGUAGGGUUGGUGUUGGUUUUGAGUGGUUUUUGAGUGAUUUGGUUAGGUUUCGGUAGGGUUGGUGUUGGUUUUGAGUGGUUUUUGAGUGAUUUGGUUAGGUUUCGGUAGGGUUCGUGUUG